GUUUGUGGCUCAGGGGUAGAGCACUUGCCUAGCAUGUGUGGGGCCCUGGGUUUGAUUCUCAGCAUCACA
This 69-nucleotide transfer RNA is filed under the name Marmota monax (woodchuck). RNAcentral's name for it is "tRNA.Ala". The record is from RNAcentral. Lineage: Eukaryota; Metazoa; Chordata; Mammalia; Rodentia; Sciuridae.